GAUGAUCUUAUUACGGGCGCGGA
Molecule: microRNA, 23 nt
Filed under: Cordylochernes scorpioides
Lineage: Eukaryota; Metazoa; Arthropoda; Arachnida; Pseudoscorpiones; Chernetidae
Source: RNAcentral